CCUUUUGAAUAGAGUGAAGCAGCAAGAGCAAGAGAAAUAAUGUUGCAACUGCAUUUCUCAAGACUGCUGCUAUGGAGAUUUCAAACUUGACCUUCCCUGCCAGGUUCUGCUUUGAAGGCUUACUUAUUACUACAGACAUCGCUGAUAUUAAAAGCAGUUUUAUUGCUCGUCUAAUUAAAUGUUUAUAUUUUUAUUCUUCAAGGACUUAAUUAUGCUAGUUUAAAAGGUGUUUUUGUUUGUUUGCUUGCUUUUAUUUUUGUUUUUUGAUGUUUUUUGGUUUUUGUUUUGGUUCGGGUUUUUUUGAAGGGGGAUCAAGAUUGAUAGAGACCUAAGUUUUUUUAGAUUUGUAGUUUUUUUCCUGGACUUUCCCCCUCCUUUUAUUGUGCAGUUGUAUGAAUUAAUUUUAUAACGUUUAUUUGAUAGUGCUAAAAAAGGAAAUUUUUAUACUGCUAUGGUAGAUCUUGAUAAACUAAAAAGAACUUUUUAAUGUGUUAGAAAACUGAUAAAGCAAAUUAGGAAGCUCGGCAGCUGUAUCUUCUGGGAUGGAUUCUUAUAGCACCUAUUUGGCAACUGUCAAACUCAGUGGCUCGUGGUUAGAAGAGCAAGAUGAAGACAUUUAUGAGGUUGAAUCUCGCGUGCCUUUACCACAUCCUUUUCCUCUUUGUGAACAUUUGGAUGAAAAUAACUCAGUAAUUGUUAAUACGUCUAUUUUCCAUUUUAUUCAUAAAAGAAACGGGCAUAUAUUAAAGCUUAUUUCUAAAAUUUCACUGCCUACCCCUCCUUAUUCACUUGAACAUGCGAAAGUUACACAGACAGAGUUGAUGCGUGAGUCAUUUAGACAGAAACAAGAAGCAACAGAGUCCCUUAAGUGCCAAGAGGAACUUCGAGAGCGCCUUCAUGAGGAGUCCAGGGCCAGAGAACAGCUAGCUGUGGAGCUCAGUAAGGCUGAGGGUGUCAUUGAUGGCUAUGCAGAUGAAAAAACUCUUUUUGAAAGGCAAAUUCAGGAAAAAACUGAUAUAAUAGAUCGUCUUGAGCAGGAGUUGUUAUGUGCAAGUAACAGAUUACAAGAAUUGGAGGCAGAGCAACAGCAGAUCCAAGAAGAAAGAGAACUACUGUCCAGACAAAAGGAAGCUAUGAAAGCAGAGGCAGGCCCAGUUGAACAACAAUUACUACAGGAGACAGAAAAAUUAAUGAAGGAAAAACUAGAAGUACAAUGUCAAGCUGAAAAAGUACGUGAUGACCUUCAAAAACAAGUGAAAGCUCUAGAAAUAGAUGUGGAAGAACAAGUCAGUAGGUUUAUAGAGCUGGAGCAAGAAAAAAAUGCUGAACUAAUGGAUUUAAGACAGCAAAACCAAGCAUUGGAAAAGCAGUUAGAAAAAAUGAGAAAA
RNAcentral lists this small RNA (1388 nucleotides) under Pongo abelii (Sumatran orangutan). Its description in RNAcentral is "processed transcript". Lineage: Eukaryota; Metazoa; Chordata; Mammalia; Primates; Hominidae. The record is from RNAcentral.